Long non-coding RNA from Frieseomelitta varia, 974 nucleotides. RefSeq lists it as uncharacterized. NCBI's taxonomy places the organism in Eukaryota, Metazoa, Arthropoda, Insecta, Hymenoptera, Apidae. The record is from RefSeq and is a predicted model, not a curated record. The transcript has 3 exons.
CAUAUUAUUUAAUGCAUAUAGGUGUUCACAUCCCACUAUAUACACAACAUUCUCUUACUCAGGCUCAAGCUCGGUUUAAGGUGGAGGGGGCUGGUUGUCUGGGCUAACAGUAUUCUCUUUUUUUUUUUUUUUUACAGUGUGUUCGUUACCUUUUGUAAGUAAUCCACAAUUUAUCUUUAUUUAAUCCGCAAUCACAAUGUAAAAAGCGUGUUGUCAACUAAAGAACAAAUAGUGACAUAAACCACGUUCAAGAUGAACUUAGGAGCCGACACAUAUGGUAAUAACAAUUCUUGUUCGAGGCUUUUUAUUUGAACAUGUGGAAAUAAUGCAUUCAAACCUAAUUAUUGUCUCGAGGUAAUAAAAAUCUCUAAGUAUGACAAUUGAGUGUGAUGAAUUUUAAGAUAUGUAUGUCAGUUAAUGAAAUGAAAACUGUAUCUAAUGUUCUGCGAACAUAUUUUACAUUUUUCAUUUCAUUCUUUCGUAACAUUGAAUUUUUGUAAUCAUACGAUAUUAAUGUUACUAAUUGAUAUGUAAUUGAGAAUACUUAGACCAAAACUUCUGUCUUUUUGCAAUUCAUACACAAGUUUAGCAUUUGAUGAGCUGCUCUGCCCUUUUUUUUUCUUUUUUCUAACUAUUCUCAAAUCAAACGCGGAUAAUUACUUACAUUUGUUUCAAUUUUUCAAUUUUGUCUAUUCAUGGAAAAAUCAGUUGUCCAUAAUUUGGACAAUGACUGGACUGAAAUCUCGCAGGUAAAGGUAGAGCUUGUACAGCGUCCAGAGGAGAAACGAGCGAAGUACGAAAAAGGUUCUUCCUCUACUGCUCGUGAAGAAAAUUACGAGCAAUAAUUGGUUCAUGAACCGCCGAUUCGACAAGUCUUGCUACAAUUGAGAAAAGAAAAAUAGAAGAAAGAAGAGGAAUAUUCGUAAUCACUGUUACGGCUAGAGCGAUUCCUGAUUUUCGUAGUGCAGUAUAUA